UGUAUAUAUGUGUGUGUGUGUGUGUGUGUGUGUGUGUGUAUAUAUACACACACACACACACACUAUAUAUAUAUA
Molecule: microRNA precursor, 75 nt
Filed under: Podarcis lilfordi (Lilford's wall lizard)
Lineage: Eukaryota; Metazoa; Chordata; Lepidosauria; Squamata; Lacertidae
Source: RNAcentral